Molecule: ribosomal RNA, 506 nt
Filed under: Neisseria elongata
Lineage: Bacteria; Pseudomonadati; Pseudomonadota; Betaproteobacteria; Neisseriales; Neisseriaceae
Description: bacterial SSU rRNA
Rfam family: Bacterial small subunit ribosomal RNA
Source: RNAcentral
AUUGAACGCUGGCGGCAUGCUUUACACAUGCAAGUCGGACGGCAGCGGGGUAGUGCUUGCACUACUGCCGGCGAGUGGCGAACGGGUGAGUAAUAUAUUGGAACGUACCGAGUAAUGGGGGAUAACCAAUCGAAAGAUUGGCUAAUACCGCAUACGCUCCGAGGAGGAAAGCAGGGGACCUUCGGGCCUUGCGUUAUUCGAGCGGCCAAUAUCUGAUUAGCUAGUUGGUGGGGUAAAGGCCUACCAAGGCGACGAUCAGUAGCGGGUCUGAGAGGAUGAUCCGCCACACUGGGACUGAGACACGGCCCAGACUCCUACGGGAGGCAGCAGUGGGGAAUUUUGGACAAUGGGCGCAAGCCUGAUCCAGCCAUGCCGCGUGUCUGAAGAAGGCCUUCGGGUUGUAAAGGACUUUUGUUAGGGAAGAAAAAGGAGCGGUUAAUACCCGUUUCUGCUGACGGUACCUAAAGAAUAAGCACCGGCUAACUACGUGCCAGCAGCCGCGGUAA